AGUUUGAUUACGGCUCAGAUUGAACGCUGGUGAUGCUUUACACAUGCAAGUCGAACGGCAGCACGGACUUCGGUCUGGUGGCGAGUGGCGAACGGGUAGAGAGUAAAUGUAUCGGAACGCCUAGUAGCGGGGGAACAACAAAGCGUAGCCAAUACCGCAUACCGCCCUUCGGGGAAAAAGCGGGACCUCGGGCCCUGCACUAGAGCGGCUGAUAUCGGAUUAGCCAGUUGGUGGGGUAACGGCUCACCAAGGGCGACGAUCCGUAGCCGGUUUGAGAGGACGACCAGCUACACCGGGGACUGAGACACGGCCCAGACUCCUACGGGAGGCAGCAGUGGGGAAUUUUGGACAAUGGGGGAAACCCUGAUCCAGCCAUCCCGCGUGUGGGCGAUGAAGGCCUUCGGGUUGUAAAGCACUUUUGGCAGGAAGAAACGGCACGGAUAAUACCCCGUGCAACUGACGGUACCUGCAGAAUAAGCACCGGCUAACCACGUGCCAGCAGCCGCGGUAAUACGUAGGUGCAAGCGUUAAUCGAAUUACUGGGCGUAAAGCGUGCGCAGGUUCGGAAAGAAAGAUGUGAAGUCCCAGAGCUAACUUUGGAACUGCAUUUUUAACUACCGAGCUAGAGUGUAACAGAGGGAGGUGGAAUUCGCGUGUAGCAGUGAAAUGCGUAGAUAUGGCGGAGGAACACCGAUGGCGUAAAGGCAGCCUCCUGGGAUAACACUGACGCUCAUGCACGAAAGCGUGGGAGCAACAGGAUUAGAUCAUCUGGUAGUCCACGCCCUAAACGAUGUCAACUAGCUGUUGCAGCCUUCGGCCUCGGUAGCGCAGCUAACGCGUGAAGUUGACCGCCUGGGGAGUACGGUCGCAAGAUUAAACUCAGCGAAUUGACGGGGACUCCGCACAAGCGGUGGAUGAUGUGGAUUAAUUCGAUGCAACGCGAAAAACCUUACCUACCCUUGAUACGUCUGAAUCCCGAAGAGAUUUGGGAGUGCUCGCAGAGAACCGUUACAGGUGCCGUGGCUGUCGUCAGCCUGUGUCGAGAUGCUGCUGUCCCCAACGAGCGCAACCCUGUCAUUAGUUGCUGCUGAAAGCGGGCACCUAAUGAGACUGCCGGUGACAAACCGGAGGAAGGUGGGGAUGACGUCAAGUCCUCAUGGCCCUUAUGGGUAGGGCUUCACACGUCAUAUAAUGGUCGGGACAGAGGGUCGCCAACCCGCGAGGGGAGCCAAUCCCAGAACCUGAUCGUAGUCCGGAUCGGCCUGCAACUCGACUGCGUGAAGUCGGAAUCGCCAGUAAUCGCGGAUCAGCAUGUCGCGGCAUCACGUUCCCGGGUCCUGUACACACCGCCCGUCACACCAUGGGAGUGGCUUUACCAGAAGUAGUUACCUAACCGUAAGAGGGCGAUUACCAUUGGCAGGGAUUCCGCAAUGACUGUGUAGUCCAAAAUGGCAG
RNAcentral lists this ribosomal RNA (1455 nucleotides) under uncultured Bordetella sp. Its description in RNAcentral is "partial 16S-23S ribosomal RNA intergenic spacer". It matches the Rfam family "Bacterial small subunit ribosomal RNA". The record is from RNAcentral. Lineage: Bacteria; Pseudomonadati; Pseudomonadota; Betaproteobacteria; Burkholderiales; Alcaligenaceae.